GACGAACGCUGGCGGCGCGCUUAACACAUGCAAGUCGAACGGAAAGGCCCUGCUUUUGUGGGGUGCUCGAGUGGCGAACGGGUGAGUAACACGUGAGUAACCUGCCCUUGACUUUGGGAUAACUUCAGGAAACUGGGGCUAAUACCGGAUAGGAGCUCCUGCUGCAUGGUGGGGGUUGGAAAGUUUCGGCGGUUGGGGAUGGACUCGCGGCUUAUCAGCUUGUUGGUGGGGUAGUGGCUUACCAAGGCUUUGACGGGUAGCCGGCCUGAGAGGGUGACCGGCCACAUGGGGACUGAGAUACGGCCCAGAGUCCUACGGGAGGCAGCAGUGGGGAAUAUUGCACAAUGGGCGGAAGCCUGAUGCAGCAACGCCGCGUGCGGGAUGACGGCCUUCGGGUUGUAAACCGCUUUCGCCUGUGACGAAGCGUGAGUGACGGUAAUGGGUAAAGAAGCACCGGCUAACUACGUG
RNAcentral lists this ribosomal RNA (468 nucleotides) under uncultured bacterium. RNAcentral describes it as "partial 16S ribosomal RNA". It matches the Rfam family "Bacterial small subunit ribosomal RNA", at positions 28 to 507 of the family's 1533-position model. The record is from RNAcentral.